RNAcentral lists this ribosomal RNA (569 nucleotides) under Enterobacter cloacae. RNAcentral describes it as "bacterial SSU rRNA". It matches the Rfam family "Bacterial small subunit ribosomal RNA", at positions 919 to 1489 of the family's 1533-position model. The record is from RNAcentral. Lineage: Bacteria; Pseudomonadati; Pseudomonadota; Gammaproteobacteria; Enterobacterales; Enterobacteriaceae.
GUCCGCACAAGCGGUGGAGCAUGUGGUUUAAUUCGAUGCAACGCGAAGAACUUUACCUACUUUGACAUCCAGAGAACUUAGCAGAGAUGUUUUGGUGCCUUCGGGAAGUCUGAGACAGGUGCUGCAUGGCUGUCGUCAGCUCGUGUUGUGAAAUGUUGGGUUAAGUCCCGCAACGAGCGCAACCCUUAUCCUUUGUUGCCAGCGGUCCGGCCGGGAACUCAAAGGAGACUGCCAGUGAUAAACUGGAGGAAGGUGGGGAUGACGUCAAGUCAUCAUGGCCCUUACGAGUAGGGCUACACACGUGCUACAAUGGCGCAUACAAAGAGAAGCGACCUCGCGAGAGCAAGCGGACCUCAUAAAGUGCGUCGUAGUCCGGAUUGGAGUCUGCAACUCGACUCCAUGAAGUCGGAAUCGUUAGUAAUCGUGGAUCAGAAUGCCACGGUGAAUACGUUCCCGGGCCUUGUACACACCGCCCGUCACACCAUGGGAGUGGGUUGCAAAAGAAGUAGGUAGCUUAACCUUCGGGAGGGCGCUUACCACUUUGUGAUUCAUGACUGGGGUGAAGUCGA